CCUACGGGGGGCAGCAGUGGGGGAUAUUGCACAAUGGGGGGAACCCUGAUGCAGCGACGCCGCGUGGGUGAAGAAGCGCCUCGGCGCGUAAAGCCCUGUCAGCAGGGAAGAAAAUGACGGUACCUGACGAAGAAGCCCCGGCUAACUACGUGCCAGCAGCCGCGGUAAUACGUAGGGGGCAAGCGUUAUCCGGAUUUACUGGGUGUAAAGGGGGCGCAGACGGGGUAGCAAGCCAGAAGUGAAAGCCCGGGGCCCAACCACGGGACUGCUUUUGGAACUGUGUGGCUGGAGUGCAGGAGGGGUAGGCGGAAUUCCUGGUGUAGCAGUGAAAUGCGUAGAGAUCAGGAGGAACACCGGUGGCGAAGGCGGCCUGCUGGACUGUAACUGACGUUGAGGCCCGAAAGCGUGGGGAGCAAACAGGAUUAGAUACCCCGGUAGUC
RNAcentral lists this ribosomal RNA (440 nucleotides) under uncultured bacterium. Its description in RNAcentral is "partial 16S ribosomal RNA". It matches the Rfam family "Bacterial small subunit ribosomal RNA", at positions 338 to 795 of the family's 1533-position model. The record is from RNAcentral.